This is a non-coding RNA of Camellia sinensis, 614 nucleotides long. The record is from RefSeq and is a predicted model, not a curated record. NCBI's taxonomy places the organism in Eukaryota, Viridiplantae, Streptophyta, Magnoliopsida, Ericales, Theaceae.
UUGAAGAAAUAAAUAAUCAUUUGCACAAGCUUUAUGAAUGAAUAUAGGGCCUUCCAGUUCAUUUCUGCCGCAGAAACCUUCCAAGGCGUGAUGAAACUGUUACAUUGGUAGAUGAAGAGGGAGAAGAGUACCCAACAGUAUACUUGGCUAGGAAGGCCGGGCUUAGUGGUGGAUGGAGAGGAUUUUCAAUUGAUCAUGGUUUGGUAGAUGGUGAUGCAAUCGUAUUCCAACUAAUCCGACCUACAGUAUUUAAGGUGUACAUCAUAAGGGCAAAUAGUUUUAAAGAGGGUAACAAGGAUCUUUGAAAUGUCUUGCAUGUUUGAUGUCUUGCAUGUUUGAUCCUUGGAGGGCGAAUGAGCAAAUGCAGGUGAAAAGAAUGUUAGUUGCAGCAAAGUUGAUAAGAGUCUCUUCUUCUUCUUCUCUCCUUUUUUUUUAGUGUAUUUAUUAUUACUUGUUUGGAGAAAUGCCAAUCACUGAUUUAGAGGUGUAGCUUAGCUUUGGCAAUCAACAAUGAUGGGCACACAUGAUUUUUGUAGUUGCUGACCUGCCCAUGUGUAUGUAUGAACUGUUGCUAUUAAAUCUAAAUACUAAUGGUGCUCUUUGGACCGUCCAAA